AGCAGUAGCCGCGGGAACACGAAGGGGGCUAGCGUUGCUCGGAAUCACUGGGCGUAAAGGGUGCGUAGGCGGGUCUUUAAGUCAGGGGUGAAAUCCCUGGGCUCAACCGAGGAAGUGCACUUGAAACUACCAAGCUAGAGGACAGUAGAGGAAGGUGGAAUUCCUAGUGUAGAGGUGAAAUUCGUAGAUAUUAGGAGGAAUACCUGUGGCGAAGGCGGCCUUCUGGGCUAUUCCUGACACUGAGACGCGAAAGCGUGGGUAGCAAACAGGAUUAGAUACCCCCGUAGUCCCUGUCUCUUAUAC
Molecule: ribosomal RNA, 303 nt
Filed under: uncultured bacterium
Lineage: Bacteria
Description: partial 16S ribosomal RNA
Rfam family: Bacterial small subunit ribosomal RNA
Source: RNAcentral